CCGUACCCAUCUCGAACACGGAAGUUAAGCUCUUUAGCGUCGAUGGUACUGCAUGGGAGACUGUGUGGGAGAGUAGAACGCCGCCGGUU
Molecule: ribosomal RNA, 89 nt
Filed under: Desulfobacter latus
Lineage: Bacteria; Pseudomonadati; Thermodesulfobacteriota; Desulfobacteria; Desulfobacterales; Desulfobacteraceae
Source: RNAcentral